This 375-nucleotide long non-coding RNA is filed under the name Lathyrus oleraceus (garden pea). RNAcentral describes it as "Pisum sativum (pea) long non-coding RNA (PSAT_LNC006064)". The record is from RNAcentral. Lineage: Eukaryota; Viridiplantae; Streptophyta; Magnoliopsida; Fabales; Fabaceae.
GAUAUGGUAGGUGUUGUUCUAGAAGACUCUUCAUUUUCCCUUUCUCCUCUUGAGAUUUUUGAGCUUUUCUCUUCUUUUCCUCUCUCUUUUUCUUGUCCAACUCAUCUUUUUCAAUUUUUUCAUUUUCAACUAAUUUUCCCUCUUUUAUUUUUUCUACUUCAAUCUCAUCUUUUUCUCUUUCUAUCACAACUUUUUCUUGUUAAAAAUCAUCACCAAUGCCCUUGCUUUUUUUUAUACCACUUCGAGUUAGAAUGAAUUUACAAUAUUCCUUUAGAUUAUCUUGAGUAUUUGUAGAAAAUAUUCCUUUUUAUUGAUCAACUAAUUUCUUAGCUAUUCGACCAACAUGGGUUUGAAGAUUCUUGAUGGCCACAUCAU